This is a long non-coding RNA of Chelonia mydas (Green sea turtle), 165 nucleotides long. RefSeq lists it as uncharacterized. NCBI's taxonomy places the organism in Eukaryota, Metazoa, Chordata, Testudines, Cheloniidae. The transcript has 3 exons. The record is from RefSeq and is a predicted model, not a curated record.
AUGAUCUGCUGAAAGUAAUUUCUCUAUCCAUAGAUGUGUAUCAUUAACGCAUAUGGAGUUCUGAGAAUUGUGUAGUGUGGUUGUCACUAAAACAUGCUGCAAGUUGGGGAAUCAGCCAGAUAUUAGCUCCCCAGAGGCAACAGCAAGGAAAAUGACCAAUCCCCA